AGCUUGGAUGUGGAAGCUCUUUGGAAACCAAGAAACACUCUGCAAAUGAAAAGGGUGGAAGAGUAAACUGUUCCCGUUUCUCCAAAUUGACAGGAAGCAGAAGUUCUCCUUAGCUGAUUUUUCUUCUUGCCUUAUACUGGGUUCUUUAACACCAGAACAAAAAUAAAUAAAUAAAAGAAUCUUCCAGAAAUUCAUGAAGAGACUUCAGGUCAGGAAAGCCUGAACUUUCUCAUCUAACACCUGUUCAAGUCGGAGGAUGCUGAUUAAUUCAUGAUGGAAAGGUAUCAAUUUCACAGCCCAGACUUCUACAUUCUUGAAAUGCUGUUCUCAUGGGAGACAUUAAAUAAGCUUUGAAAUAACUGAGACGUCUGUGGAUUCUAUAACUCAAAGACCCAGGCUGAUGGCUGGUGGAAUAGCUACCAUCUCAAACAUGGCGUGAUGCUGCAUCAGAGGGAAAAAUAAGCUCUUGCACUGGCAAUGAAAUGUCUACCCUGUAGUGACUUGUGCUUACUUCCACUCACAAAUGAUUGCCCAGAGCUACUUACCUGGCUCCAAUCUACCACUGGGUCAGACGUUUGCCGAAUUCAGUUCUGAGCUUUUGAACCAAAAGCAGAUCUUCAGAACAAGAAAGAAGAUAAUAAAAGAGAAACACAAAGAAACUGAAGAUGAUUGGAGAUAUAUGAAUCAAGAUGAUUAGACCUAGCAGAGGGCUGGCUGGAUGGCAUUUAUGUUGACGAUGGACU
This 743-nucleotide non-coding RNA is filed under the name Pongo abelii (Sumatran orangutan). The record is from RNAcentral. Lineage: Eukaryota; Metazoa; Chordata; Mammalia; Primates; Hominidae.